This is a non-coding RNA of Sphaeramia orbicularis (orbiculate cardinalfish), 510 nucleotides long. The record is from the annotation of a RefSeq genome assembly. NCBI's taxonomy places the organism in Eukaryota, Metazoa, Chordata, Actinopteri, Kurtiformes, Apogonidae.
AUGUCCUCCACCUCUACUUAUGUGAGUGCAGAGAGGACAACAGAGAACAGAGCAGUUGAACAUGAUGGACUAUAGGACAGGACUGCUGCUUUUCAUUAUCUGCUGGGCAGGUGUUGAUGGUCAGACUCUGACUGAAUCUGGACCUGCAGUGAAAAGACCUGGAGAAUCCCACAGACUGACCUGUACAACAUCUGGAUUCACAUUCAGCAGCUACAGCAUCGACUGGAUCAGACAGGCUCCUGGAGAAGGACUGGAGUGGAUCGCUGACAUCAGUAAUCUUGGCAGUACUCGAUAUUCUCAGUCAUUUCAAGGCCGUUUCACCAUCUCCAGAGACAACAGCAGAAACCAGGUGUAUCUGAAGAUGAACAGUCUGAAAACUGAAGAUUCUGCUGUUUAUUAUUGUGCACGAUACCCACAGUGACUGGAGUUAGUGAAUCAGCUGUACAAAAUCCUACAUGUCAGUAAAGCAGAGAUUCCUUAAUUGAUGUUUCAUCUUAGCAAACCAUUUCA